Molecule: long non-coding RNA, 446 nt
Organism: Drosophila pseudoobscura
Lineage: Eukaryota; Metazoa; Arthropoda; Insecta; Diptera; Drosophilidae
Exons: 2
Source: RefSeq, a predicted model, not a curated record
CAUAUAGGAAUACGUAUUUCCCAUCUGCAUCGAAUCCGAAUCGCUUGAAAAGAACUACAGAAGGUUUUUGAUGGAUCGAACGAGUUCACUGAAUCGAAUGCGUCGUCAGGGACUUGGGUACAAUGUAAUUAAAGCUUACCCCAAAAAAAGACAAUCGGCAACCGGUAAGAGAACGCGUGAGAGUGGCAGCGAGCGCCUAAUAACUAUGCGAAGAGGUCGGACCACAACUGGGAUCUGCACUGGCCAAGAGCAGUGCAAUUAUCUCGCCAGACCCAGAUCCAAACCAAAAUCUAGCAAGCAAAGGCAAACAACCGAAUUGAACAAAUAACGAGAUAAUUAAUUAAUGCAUAAUAACACAAGUUAAUUAGAUUUCGGGGCGGCAGCCAAUUGAGCAAACAAUCGAAGCGCACUGGAAACGGUAACAAAUAAAAAAACUAUAAAGAAAA